AUUGAACGCUGGCGGCAGGCCUAACACAUGCAAGUCGAACGAGUGGCGGACGUGUGAGUAAUGUCUGGGAACCUGCUCGCUGGAGUGGGAUAACUACUGGAAACGGUAGCUAAUACCGCCUACCAUCGGAUGUGCCCAGAUGGGAUUAGCUUGUAGGUGAGGUAACGGCUCACCUAGGCGACGAUCCCUAGCUGGUCUGAGAGGAUGACCGGCCACACUGGAACGGAGACACGGUCCAGAAGCCUAAGGGAGGCAGCAGUGGGGAAUAGUGCACAAUGGGCGCAAGCCUGAUGCAGCCAUGCCGCGUGUAUGAAGAAGGCGUUCGGGUUGUAAAGUACUUUCAGCGGGGAGGCGUUACCCGCAGAAGAAGCACCGGCUAACUCCGUGCCAGCAGCCGCGGUAAUAC
Molecule: ribosomal RNA, 406 nt
Filed under: uncultured bacterium
Lineage: Bacteria
Description: partial 16S ribosomal RNA
Rfam family: Bacterial small subunit ribosomal RNA
Source: RNAcentral